This 449-nucleotide ribosomal RNA is filed under the name uncultured bacterium. RNAcentral describes it as "partial 16S ribosomal RNA". It matches the Rfam family "Bacterial small subunit ribosomal RNA", at positions 29 to 523 of the family's 1533-position model. The record is from RNAcentral.
AAUGAACGCUGGCGGCAUGCCUAACACAUGCAAGUCGAACGAAGGCUUCGGCCUUAGUGGCGCACGGGUGCGUAACGCGUGGGAAUCUGCCCUCAGGUUCGGAAUAACAGCGAGAAAUUGCUGCUAAUACCGGAUGAUAUCGCGAGAUCAAAGAUUUAUCGCCUGAGGAUGAGCCCGCGUAGGAUUAGCUAGUUGGUGUGGUAAAGGCGCACCAAGGCGACGAUCCUUAGCUGGUCUGAGAGGAUGAUCAGCCACACUGGGAUUGAGACACGGCCCAGACUCCUACGGGAGGCAGCAGUGGGGAAUAUAGGACAAUGGGCGAAAGCCUGAUCCAGCAAUGCCGCGUGAGUGAUGAAGGCCUUAGGGUUGUAAAGCUCUUUUACCCGGGAUGAUAAUGACAGUACCGGGAGAAUAAGCUCCGGCUAACUCCGUGCCAGCCGCCGCGGUAA